Molecule: ribosomal RNA, 253 nt
Filed under: uncultured bacterium
Lineage: Bacteria
Description: partial 16S ribosomal RNA
Rfam family: Bacterial small subunit ribosomal RNA
Source: RNAcentral
UACGAAGGGGGCUAGCGUUGCUCGGAAUUACUGGGCGUAAAGCGCACGUAGGCGGCUUUCUAAGUCGGGGGUGAAAUCCUGGAGCUCAACUCCAGAACUGCCUUCGAUACUGGAGAGCUUGAGUCCGGGAGAGGUGAGUGGAACUGCGAGUGUAGAGGUGAAAUUCGUAGAUAUUCGCAAGAACACCAGUGGCGAAGGCGGCUCACUGGCCCGGUACUGACGCUGAGGUGCGAAAGCGUGGGGAGCAACAGGG